Molecule: ribosomal RNA, 222 nt
Filed under: uncultured bacterium
Lineage: Bacteria
Description: partial 16S ribosomal RNA
Rfam family: Bacterial small subunit ribosomal RNA
Source: RNAcentral
UACGUAGGGGGCUAGCGUUGUCCGGAAUCAUUGGGCGUAAAGCGCGUGUAGGCGGUUCGGUAAGUCCGCUGUGAAAGUCGGGGGGCUCAACCCUCGAAUGCCGGUGGAUACUGUCGGACUAGAGUACGGAAGAGGCGAGUGGAAUUCCUGGUGUAGCGGUGAAAUGGCGCCAGGAUAAUCAGGAGGAACACCAAUUGCGAAAGGCAGCUCGGCUGGGACGUU